Molecule: transfer RNA, 70 nt
Filed under: Danio albolineatus (pearl danio)
Lineage: Eukaryota; Metazoa; Chordata; Actinopteri; Cypriniformes; Danionidae
Also listed under: 1 other name
Description: tRNA-Trp
Source: RNAcentral
AGAGACUUAGGAUAACCCAGACCAAGAACCUUCAAAGCUCUCAGUAGAAGUGAAAAUCUUCUAGUCUCUG